RNAcentral lists this ribosomal RNA (427 nucleotides) under uncultured bacterium. RNAcentral describes it as "bacterial SSU rRNA". It matches the Rfam family "Bacterial small subunit ribosomal RNA", at positions 355 to 774 of the family's 1533-position model. The record is from RNAcentral.
UGGGGAAUUUUGGACAAUGGACGCAAGUCUGAUCCAGCCAUGCCGCGUGCGGGAAGAAGGCCUUCGGGUUGUAAACCGCUUUUUUCAGGGAAGAAACGAGUUUCUCUAAUACAGAGACUUAAUGACGGUACCUGAAGAAUAAGCACCGGCUAACUACGUGCCAGCAGCCGCGGUAAUACGUGGGGUGCGAGCGUUAAUCGGAAUUACUGGGCGUAAAGCGUGCGCAGGCGGUAAUAUAAGACAGGUGUGAAAUCCCCGGGCUCAAACUGGGACCUGCAUUUGUGACUACAUAACUAGAGAACGGCAGAGGGAGGUGGAAUUCCGCGUGUAGCAGUGAAAUGCGUAGAUAUGCGGAGGAACACCGAUGGCGAAGGCAAUCCCCUGGACCUGUACUGACGCUCAUGCACGAAAGCGUGGAGAGCAAACA